AUGCUGGCUUCGGUAGCACAGAGACUAACAUUGGAACAAUACAGAGAAGAUUGGCGUGGCCUCUGCGCAAAGAUGACAUGCAAAUUCUUGAAGCAUUCCAUAUUUUA
Molecule: small nuclear RNA, 107 nt
Organism: Echinops telfairi (small Madagascar hedgehog)
Lineage: Eukaryota; Metazoa; Chordata; Mammalia; Afrosoricida; Tenrecidae
Source: Ensembl